RNAcentral lists this non-coding RNA (23 nucleotides) under Rattus norvegicus (Norway rat). Lineage: Eukaryota; Metazoa; Chordata; Mammalia; Rodentia; Muridae. The record is from RNAcentral.
GAAUGAAUGAAUGCAUAAUGUGA